UCUAAUACCGGAUAGGAGCGUCCACCGCAUGGUGAGUGUUGGAAAGAUUUAUCGGUUUUGGAUGGACUCGCGGCCUAUCAGCUUGUUGGUGAGGUAAUGGCUCACCAAGGCGACGACGGGUAGCCGGCCUGAGAGGGUGACCGGCCACACUGGGAGUGAGACACGGCCCAGACUCCUACGGGAGGCAGCAGUGGGGAAUAUUGCACAAUGGGCGCAAGCCUGAUGCAGCGACGCCGCGUGAGGGAUGACGGCCUUCGGGUUGUAAACCUCUUUCAGUAGGGAAGAAGCGAAAGUGACGGUACCUGCAGAAGAAGCACCGGCUAACUACGUGCCAGCAGCCGCGGUAAUACGUAGGGUGCGAGCGUUAUCCGGAAUUAUUGGGGGUAAAGAGCUCGUAGGCGGUUUGUGGAGUCUGUCGUGAAAGUCCGGGGCUUAACCCCGGAUGUGCGGUGGGUACGGCCAGACUAGAGUGCAGUAGGGGAGACUGGAAUUCCUGGUGUAGCGGUGGAAUGCGCAGAUAUCAGGAGGAACACCGAUGGCGAAGGCAGGUCUCUGGGCUGUAACUGACGCUGAGGAGCGAAAGCAUGGGGAGCGAACAGGAUUAGAUACCCUGGUAGUCCAUGCCGUAAACGUUGGGCACUAGGUGUGGGGACCAUUCCACGGUUCCGCGCCGCAGCUAACG
The sequence is a ribosomal RNA, 682 nucleotides long. It matches the Rfam family "Bacterial small subunit ribosomal RNA", at positions 162 to 857 of the family's 1533-position model.